UCCACAGAGCUCGGCAGUCUCUGUAGCAC
RNAcentral lists this non-coding RNA (29 nucleotides) under Rattus norvegicus (Norway rat). Lineage: Eukaryota; Metazoa; Chordata; Mammalia; Rodentia; Muridae. The record is from RNAcentral.